This is a long non-coding RNA of Raphanus sativus (radish), 577 nucleotides long. RefSeq lists it as uncharacterized. Lineage: Eukaryota; Viridiplantae; Streptophyta; Magnoliopsida; Brassicales; Brassicaceae. The record is from RefSeq and is a predicted model, not a curated record. The transcript has 2 exons.
AUCAGACUGGUCUGUGUGUCUCACGCGGUAAGCCUACUUUUGAUGUCUGUGUAAUUGCGUAAACUACACGCGCAUUCAUUGUAUGCGAUUUGUUCUUCGACGUCGCCGCCGUCUUGGUUCCCUCUUCGCGAACGCAAGAGAAACGGCUACGAAAUCAAAUCAGAGAGGACAACCUCUGUCAAGCAUUACUUCCAAGCUCUCCCCCCCCCCCCUCCCCUUUGUUGACUGACUUGAGGGAGCUAAUUACAAUUCUGCCUAAGCAGGCUUUGUACCAAAAACAAGGUCUGUUUCUUAUCUCACUGAUCCAUCAAAGGUGGAGGAGGCUUCUGCUGAAGGUAACGCACAGCUGGAGGUUGUAGAGAGGUUGCUCAAGGUUUACUUGGCGUGCCCUCCCAAGACCAAAAACAUCAUGGAACUCAAGGUUCAGUUGUAGAUGUACGUUUUGCAUUUUCAGUACCCUCAAAACAUAUUUGUUGUUGUUCAUGUUUCUUAAUUAGUUCUUUCCAACUAUUAAACUUUAAUUUGUGCGAUCCUUAUGUAACCUUUGUCAUAUGUCUGCAGACCUUUAUUAAGUGGA